Molecule: small nuclear RNA, 101 nt
Organism: Vulpes vulpes (red fox)
Lineage: Eukaryota; Metazoa; Chordata; Mammalia; Carnivora; Canidae
Source: Ensembl
ACCAGUAUCACUUGGUGUGCUCACUUGGAAUUAUGUAGAGAAGAUUAGCAUGGCCCCUGUGCAAGGAUGACCAAUAUCACUUGCCAACGCUGGAACUGAAA